RNAcentral lists this unclassified non-coding RNA (355 nucleotides) under uncultured Glomeromycotina. RNAcentral's name for it is "sequence contains 28S rRNA gene". Lineage: Eukaryota; Fungi; Glomeromycota. The record is from RNAcentral.
AGAGUUAAACAGUACGUGAAAUUGUUGAAAGGGAAACGAUUGAAGUCAGUCAUGCUAGUGGGAAAUCAACGUGGUGCUGCGGCUCCCCGUGUACUUUCUUGCCUGCAGGUUAGCAUCAAUUUUGGUUGUCAUCAAAGAAUUGGGGAAAUGUGGCUUCUUUUCGGAGAAGUGUUAUAGACCCUGGUGGAUGUGACGACUGGGAUUGAGGAUUGCAGCGGAUGCCUUUGGCUAGUCACCUGUCUUCUGAAGGUCACCUCGCUUUCAACAGCUUGCUGAUGAUUGUGAGAUUUGGCAGUCUAAAAGGGUAGAAUGAUCAUAAAUUCGCUAAGGAUGCUGACGUAAUGGCUUUAAACGA